UAAAUCUGUAGUUGCUGCUUCUGUUCGACACAGUCCUAAGCUUCCUCGAAUCACACCUGAGCUCAUCUCUGCAACUUCUGAAAACUCUCAAACCUUAAACCAACCAAAACGAAAUGUUCUCCUCAUAUUCUUCCUUCUCCCUUCUAUCUCUUCUCCCUCACUCUUCUCUCCACGACUCGCUGGAUACACAGUUGCGGGUAGCGAUGAUUUUGACGAUUCCAUUGGUCUAAAACGGCUCCUCAUCACCUAAGAGAACUGGCGAUUCCGCUUCCAACUCCUCUCUAAUCCAAUCUGUCCAUAUCUCUCUGCAUCUCAUCAUUUUCCUACUUUUUUUCCUCAAAAAAAUAAUUAAAAAGCAAGGAAACCUAGAAACUGAGCAUAAUUUUAUUUUAAUUUUUUUGAUUUAAAGAGGAAAAAGUUGGUUCUUUCGUUACAUGCAUGAUUGGGUGGUAUUAUUUUAUUAAAGAUCAUAUUUUUAUUGAUGGGUUAUCAGGUCAUAGGCCACGAAGCUUCGAAUUCAGGGCAGUACCCUGUGGUAAUGAGCACAUGGCCCUUCGUAAAGGCUGUCAGAGCAUCCUGGCGGGCUGGGGAUAAUGGAUUCUCCGUCGUGGAUUUCGUCGUUAAGGGUUGCUCAACUUGCGAGGAACCCAGUUUGGGUUCGACAUUCCUGGCGACUUUCAGAGGUUUUCUGGUGGCGGCCGCCCCUGCAACCACAACUAUUUGACUCAAAGAGUCCCAACAGCAACAUGUGAGCUUUGCAUGCUCGAAUCUACCCAUCGAUCGAAGAUUUCCAUAAGUCCAGCUUGCGGUGGGUUUUUUCGACGAAGAUCCGAAUCUUUUUCGGCCAAUUUCAGGCCUUUGAGACCUCUUUUAGGUCUCGCCAAGGAAAAUAAAUGCAGAAAAAGAAUGCUCAUCUAAAAGUGAAAUGAAAUCGUGUGAUUAAACUUGGAGCAGGGUGUGGAGUAGUUGGGUUUGGCAUGGCUUUACUGGAGGUGUGACGUGGUUACGAAAGAUCAAGCAGAGGUUUUGCCCUUGGAAUGAGAAAAUUUGGAAUAUGCAAUGUUAUGAUUAAUAUAAAUAUUUUAAAUGCAAUGUCAUGAAUAUUUAUGUUCAUAUAUAUUUGUAAGGAACAAUAGAACAGGCGAAUGUACUAUAGGCAUACAAACUCUACUCUUUAACACAUAUUUUCUACACUUUCUACACUAC
Long non-coding RNA from Malus domestica (apple), 1206 nucleotides. RefSeq lists it as uncharacterized. The record is from RefSeq and is a predicted model, not a curated record. Lineage: Eukaryota; Viridiplantae; Streptophyta; Magnoliopsida; Rosales; Rosaceae.